RNAcentral lists this ribosomal RNA (1446 nucleotides) under Triticum aestivum (bread wheat). RNAcentral's name for it is "partial small subunit ribosomal RNA". Lineage: Eukaryota; Viridiplantae; Streptophyta; Magnoliopsida; Poales; Poaceae. The record is from RNAcentral.
AUGGCGGCGUCGGCGGCGGCGGUGAUGGAGGAGCUGCGGGGCAGCUUCAGGGAGGGGCGGACGCGGCCGGCCGAGUGGCGGACGGCGCAGCUCAGGGCGCUCGUCAGGAUGAUCGAGGAGAAGGAGGACGACAUCAGCGACGCGCUCCACGCCGACCUCGCCAAGCCGCGCAUGGAGGCCUACCUCCACGAGAUAUCGCUGGCGAAAGGGGCGUGUAUGUUUGCCCUCAAGGGGCUCAAGAAUUGGAUGAAGCCCGACAAGGUACCUUCUGCCAUAACUACAUUCCCAUCCACUGCUCAAAUCGUGCCGGAGCCCCUGGGUGUCGUUCUCGUCAUAUCAGCCUGGAACUAUCCUUUCUUGCUAUCCAUCGAGCCUGUCAUUGGAGCAAUUGCUGCUGGGAAUGCUGUUGUGCUGAAGCCAUCAGAACUUGCGCCAGCAACAUCGUCAUUGUUCGCGAAGCUGCUACCAGAGUACGUCGAUAGCUCGUGUAUAAAAGUUGUGGAGGGAGGUGUCACUGAAACAGGUGCACUCUUACAACAAAAAUGGGAUAAGAUCUUCUACACAGGAAAUGGUAAUGUAGCCCGCGUAGUGUUGGCAGCAGCUGCGAAGCAUCUAACCCCUGUUGCUCUGGAGCUCGGUGGAAAAUGCCCUGUUAUUGUUGACUCUAACGUCGAUCUGCAUGUUGCUGCUAAGAGGAUUGCUGUUGGUAAAUGGGGCUGUAACAAUGGCCAGGCAUGCAUUGCUCCCGAUUACAUCAUAACGACAAAAGCUUUCGUUACAGAACUGGUCGACUCUUUGAAAAGAGUCUUGGAAAGGUUCUAUGGGGAGGAUCCGUUGCAAUCGGCGGACCUGUCUCGUAUUGUGAGUAUUAGCCAUUUCGAACGAUUAGCGAAGUUGAUAGAGGACAAGGAAGUUGCCACCAAGAUUCAGCUCGGUGGUCAGACAGAUCAGGAGCAACUAAAAAUAGCUCCUACGGUGUUGGUAGAUGUUCCUCUUGAUACAGAACUUAUGACAGGGGAAAUAUUUGGCCCCAUGCUUCCAAUUAUAACGGUCGACAAGAUUGAAGAAAGCAUCACACACAUCAACGCCGGGGCGAAGCCACUGGCGGCCUACCUCUUCACCAAGGACAAGAAACUGCAACAAGAUUUCGUCUCAAACGUCUCGGCAGGAGGCAUGCUCGUCAACGACGUCGCCCUACACCUGACGAACCCACAUUUGCCGUUCGGUGGCGUGGGCGACAGCGGCACGGGGUCGUACCAUGGCAAGUUCAGCUUCGACUGCUUCACCCACAGAAAGGCAGUGCUGAUCCGCGGGUUCGGUGGCGAGGCGAACGCAAGGUACCCACCCUACACGGCAGAGAAACAGAGGAUCUUGAGGGGCCUCAUCAAGGGCAGCUUCUUUGCGCUGAUCCUUGCGCUCCUGGGGUUCCCAAGGGAGAAGCGUUAG